AUUGAACGCUGGCGGCAGGCCUAACACAUGCAAGUCGAGCGGAUGAGAAGAGCUUGCUCUUCGAUUCAGCGGCGGACGGGUGAGUAAUGCCUAGGAAUCUGCCUGGUAGUGGGGGACAACGUUUCGAAAGGAACGCUAAUACCGCAUACGGCCUACGGGAGAAAGCAGGGGACCUUCGGGCCUUGCGCUAUCAGAUGAGCCUAGGUCGGAUUAGCUAGUUGGUGGGGUAAAGGCUCACCAAGGCGACGAUCCGUAACUGGUCUGAGAGGAGGCACAGUCCCACUGGACCGCAGCCUCGGUUCAGACUCCUACGGGAGGCACGAGUGGGGAAUAUUGGACAAUGGGCGAAAGCCUGAUCCCGCCAUGCCCCGUGUGUGAAUAAGGUCUUCGGAUUGUAAAGCACUUUAAGUUUGGAGGAAGAGCAGUAAGUUCAUACCUUGCUGUUUUGACGUUACCAACAGAAUCAGCACCGGCUCACUUCGUGCCAGCCGCCGCGGUAC
RNAcentral lists this ribosomal RNA (500 nucleotides) under uncultured bacterium. RNAcentral's name for it is "partial 16S ribosomal RNA". It matches the Rfam family "Bacterial small subunit ribosomal RNA", at positions 30 to 523 of the family's 1533-position model. The record is from RNAcentral.